CCCAAGCAAAGAAAAUACCAAAGCCAAAUCAGAGUUUAUAUCUCUUCGUUUAGAAAGUGCAGAGGAGGAUUCCUGCUGCUUUCCAGUAGUGCUGCAUCCCAAGGUGGCUUAAAGGAAGAGGUUCAUCAAGGAGGGGAAGCAACUAAGGUGAGACAAGAGGAAAAAGACUUCAUCACCCAGUGCAAAUCUGUUCAGUCAACUCCAGCCAACAUGCCUACCUCAUUGUAAGAGAAAAUGGGGGGAGAAAUAUGGUGAAUAGAUUCUGGAUUAUGUGUUGUGAUACUAUAACAUCAGCAUGAUAUUUCAAGUAGCUUCUGAUUAGCAUAAAUAUAAGGUUAUCACAGAAAACUGCUGCUGUAAAUCUUCACAAUUUAACAUUGUAAUGUUCUUCCUGUUGCCUC
This 401-nucleotide long non-coding RNA is filed under the name Athene cunicularia (burrowing owl). RNAcentral's name for it is "lncRNA (ENSACUG00000012753.1)". The record is from RNAcentral. Lineage: Eukaryota; Metazoa; Chordata; Aves; Strigiformes; Strigidae.